UACGGAGGGUCCAAGCGUUAUCCGGAAUCAUUGGGUUUAAAGGGUCCGUAGGCGGGUCUGUAAGUCAGUGGUGAAAUCUCCCGGCUCAACCGGGAAAUGGCCAUUGAUACUGCAGGUCUUGAAUUAUUGGGAAGUAACUAGAAUAUGUAGUGUAGCGGUGAAAUGCUUAGAGAUUACAUGGAAUACCAAUUGCGAAGGCAGGUUACUAUCAAUAUAUUGACGCUGAUGGACGAAAGCGUGGGUAGCGAACAGG
RNAcentral lists this ribosomal RNA (253 nucleotides) under uncultured bacterium. RNAcentral describes it as "partial 16S ribosomal RNA". It matches the Rfam family "Bacterial small subunit ribosomal RNA", at positions 524 to 776 of the family's 1533-position model. The record is from RNAcentral.